GACGAACGCUGGCGGCGCGCCUAACACAUGCAAGUCGAACGGAGCUGCGAGAAGCUUGCUUUUCUUAGCUUAGUGGCGAACGGGUGAGUAACGCGUGAGUAACCUGCCCUGGAGUGUGGGACAACAGUUGGAAACGACUGCUAAUACCGCAUAAGCCCACGAUCCGGCAUCGGAUUUAGGGAAAAGGAGUUAUUCGCUUCAGGAUGGACUCGCGCCCAAUUAGCUAGUUGGUGAGGUAAGGGCCCACCAACGCGACGAUUGGUACCCGGACUGAGAGGUUGAGCGGCCACAUUGAGACUGAGACACGGUCCAGACUCCUACGGGAGGCAGCAGUGGGGGAUAGUGCACAACGGGGGAAACGCUGAUGCAGCGACGCCGCGUGGAGGAAGAAGGUAGGCGGAUUGUAAACUCCAGGCGUUAGGGACGAUAAUGACGGUACCUAACAAGAAAGCACCGGCUAACUACGUG
RNAcentral lists this ribosomal RNA (468 nucleotides) under uncultured bacterium. Its description in RNAcentral is "partial 16S ribosomal RNA". It matches the Rfam family "Bacterial small subunit ribosomal RNA", at positions 28 to 507 of the family's 1533-position model. The record is from RNAcentral.